CCCCUAGAUGUUCUGGGCCGCACGCGCGCUACACUGAACAGUUCAACAAGUCUUAACCUUGGCCGAUAGGUCUGGGUAAUCUUUGAACGCUGUUCGUGAUUGGGAUAGACCUUUGCAAUUAUGGGUCUUCAACGAGGAAUUCCUAGUAAACGCAAGUCAUCAGCUUGCAUUGAUUACGUCCCUGCCCUUUGUACCCACCGCCCGUCGCACCUACCGAUUGAAUGGUCCGGUGAAGCCUCCGGAUUGGCGCGCACCUCGGUGCCGCCGAGAAGUUGGCUAAACCUUACCAUUUAGAGGAAGGUGAAGUCGUAACA
Molecule: ribosomal RNA, 314 nt
Filed under: uncultured eukaryote
Lineage: Eukaryota
Description: partial 18S ribosomal RNA
Rfam family: Eukaryotic small subunit ribosomal RNA
Source: RNAcentral